This 809-nucleotide ribosomal RNA is filed under the name uncultured bacterium. RNAcentral's name for it is "bacterial SSU rRNA". It matches the Rfam family "Bacterial small subunit ribosomal RNA", at positions 8 to 796 of the family's 1533-position model. The record is from RNAcentral.
AGAGUUUGAUCUGGCUCAGAACGAACGCUGGCGGCGUGGAUAAGACAUGCAAGUCGGACGGGAUUUUCCGUUGUAGCAAUACGAUGGAAAGUCUAGUGGCGAACGGGUGCUUAACACGUGGGCAACCUGCCAGGAAGUGGGGGAUAGCUCGCCGAAAGGCGAAUUAAUACCGCAUGUGAUUAGAGAGGACAUCCUUUCGAAAUUAAAGUCGGGGCAACCUGACGCUUCUUGUGGGGCCCGCGGCCUAUCAGCUAGUUGGUGAGGUAAUGGCUCACCAAGGCUUUGACGGGUAGCUGGUCUGAGAGGACGACCAGCCACACUGGGACUGAGACACGGCCCAGACACCUACGGGUGGCAGCAGUCGAGAAUUUUUGACAAUGGGGGAAACCCUGAUCGAGCGACGCCGCGUGGAGGAUGAAGGUCUUCGGAUUGUAAACUCCUGUCAUUGGGGAACAAGGUGCAUACGUUAACUGCGUGUGCAUUGAUAGUACCCGAAGAGGAAGAGACGGCUAACUCUGUGCCAGCAGCCGCGGUAAUACAGAGGUCUCAAGCGUUGUUCGGAUUCAUUGGGCGUAAAGGGUGCGUAGGCGGCGCGGUAAGUCGGGUGUGAAAUCUCGGAGCUUAACUCCGAAACUGCAUUCGAUACUGCCGUGCUUGAGGACUGGAGAGGAGACUGGAAUUUACGGUGUAGCGGUGAAAUGCGUAGAUAUCGUAAGGAAGACCAGUGGCGAAGGCGGGUCUCUGGACAGUUCCUGACGCUGAGGCACGAAGGUCAGGGGAGCAAACGGGAUUAGAUACCCUAGUAGUCC